This 460-nucleotide ribosomal RNA is filed under the name uncultured bacterium. RNAcentral describes it as "partial 16S ribosomal RNA". It matches the Rfam family "Bacterial small subunit ribosomal RNA", at positions 338 to 795 of the family's 1533-position model. The record is from RNAcentral.
UCUACGGGAGGCAGCAGUGAGGAAUAUUGGUCAAUGGCCGAGAGGCUGAACCAGCCAAGUCGCGUGAAGGAUGACUGCCCUACGGGUUGUAAACUUCUUUUCUAAAGGAGUAAAGUGAGGCACGUUUGCCUUUUUGUAUGUACUUUAUGAAUAAGGAUCGGCUAACUCCGUGCCAGCAGCCGCGGUAAUACGAAGGAUCCGAGCGUUAUCCGGAUUUAUUGGGUUUAAAGGGAGCGUAGAUGGGUUGUUACGUCAGUUGUGAAAUUUUGCGGCGCAACCGUAAAAUUGCAAUUGAUACUGGCAGCAUUGAGUACAGGUGAGGUAGGCGGAAUUCGUGGUGUAGCGGUGAAAUGCUUAGAUAUCACGAAGAACUCCGAUUGCGAAGGCAGCUUACUAAACUGCCACUGACAUUGAUGCUCGAAAGUGUUGGUAUCAAACAGGAUUAGAUACCCGAGUAGUC